GACGAACGCUGGCGGCGUGCUUAACACAUGCAAGUCGAGCGGAAAGGCCACUUCGGUGGUACUCGAGCGGCGAACGGGUGAGUAACACGUGAGUAAUCUGCCCCUGGCUUUGGGAUAGCCACCGGAAACGGUGAUUAAUACCGGAUACGACCACUUCUCGCAUGGGAUGGUGGUGGAAAGUUUUUUCGGCCAGGGAUGUGCUCGCGGCCUAUCAGCUUGAUGGUGAGGUAAUGGCUCACCAUGGCUUCGACGGGUAGCCGGCCUGAGAGGGUGACCGAUAACACUGUGACUGAGAAACGGCCCAGACUCCUACGGGAGGCAGCAGUGGGGGAUAUGGGACAAUGGGCGGAAGCCUGAUCCAGCAACGCCGCGUGAGGUAUGACGGCCUUCGGGUUGUAAACCUCUUUCAGCAGGGACGAAGCGCAAGUGACGGUACCUGCAGAAGAAGCACCGGCCAACUACGUGCCAGCCGCCGCGGUAA
This 481-nucleotide ribosomal RNA is filed under the name uncultured bacterium. RNAcentral's name for it is "partial 16S ribosomal RNA". It matches the Rfam family "Bacterial small subunit ribosomal RNA", at positions 28 to 523 of the family's 1533-position model. The record is from RNAcentral.